GGCCCCCAGGACCUCCCUCCCUGCUUCCCCGUUCCCUGGGCUGCUACUUCCGUUUCCAGGCUCACUGCAGGAGGAGAGCUGGCAGCUCAGCGCGGGCGUUCACCUGAAUUUGCAGUUGUGUCUGCGGCCAGGGGAAGGCCUGGGUACCCCCUCCCCCCCCCGACACCACUCGUUGCCAUGGCUGCUGGGCGCCUCAGGCACAUGGUGGGCGGUGGAAAGCCAUCCCUGGUCUCCUGUCAGCGCCGUCCCCUGGGAGCUGGGAACGCAGCCAGAGCUGCCCCAUGCGCGCGCUCUGCCCGGAGCCUCUCGCGCACGGGCAGCUGGCAGCACUCAACACGGUCUCCCCAGUGCUGUCUGCUCGGGGCCGCAUGGGAUGAGCUCUGGGCUUCGUGGGCCAUAGCUGGAGCCAGGGGGAUUUGCUCCCACAGAAAUGGACACUGGAAAAGCUGUUCCAAGUUACGGACGUUUCAGGUUAACGAGGCCCGCGGCAGAGGACCGUUCCUUGGGAAAGCGCCAUUUGCUGCCUAGCACUAACCCAGAGCGCUGGAGGUCUCCAACGCACAGGAGAGCGGAGGCGAAGUGAGGGAACCUGCGGGGAAGGUGAGACGGAACAGCGCUUGGCGGUAAGGCAUCCGCCAGCCAGAGACUGACGGGCAGUGACCCCAAAGGGCAAGCGUCGCUGUCUCUCAAUAAAGCGCUCACGGGCCACUGCAAAGACCACUUCAGGGCAAGGCCUCCACCAGACCAUAGGUGAGCGAUGGGAAGGAAGAGCAAGGCACGCAGGCUACACAGGAAGGGGUCUGCACAAAAACCCAAGGCCAGGCAACGCUGGAAGAGCCUGAGCAACUCGUGAGCACACCGAGCGGCUUUGCUGACUCUGACCAAGAACAAACAUACUCAGACAUGAAGAGACACGGUGGCCAGAGAGCCAGGGAAACGUGCCACCCCAGAGGGGAGAGAACUGGCUUCCUUCAGGGACAAAACCCAUCAUGCUUGGGAAGUUCCACCCUCCUCCUCCAGGAGCGAGACUCCUGCAAGCCGAGCUGUUCAGAGAGGCAGAAUGCCCAGGUAAGUCAUCUUCCUUUGUUCUUCCUCCACCUUGCUAAGGCGGGUCGGAGAUGCAGCCCUUGUUUCCAUCCUGUGUGUGUUCCGGCAUACGCUGGCUCUCCAGCUGCAUCCGGCCACCUUUCUCAACUGUGCUGUGCCGAGAAAUUAAACCAAUCCAGACUCUGGCAAGAGUCCUGAGUUAAUUACUGAUUUGCUUCCAAACAGGGGAUGAGACAUCGCUCAGCCUGGUACAGAAGCUUCUGGGCCAGACGACUUCUUGGGAUUCACGUUCUGUAGCAAGCGUCCUCUUCUCGGCCAUUCUCUGCAAAUCGAGCUCUUCAUUUCAGAACAGAGGCGGCAGGGGAAAUAGAUCCAAUAUCUAGUUUGUUUGUGAAGUCUGUUGCGGUGGACCAUGGAGUCUGGCGUGGGGGAUGGUGGGAUGGAGGCUUCUGAACACCCCUUCCCUGCAGAAGAAGGAACAUCGAAGCACAACAAAUCUGGUGGGAUCAACAAGACCUCUGCUUCUUCCUUCUGCCUACUCCACAUCAGGGUCCGAAUGAAGAAGCAACAACUCUGUCCUUAGAAGAGCAAGAUCUCUUCAUGAGUGCUGAGAAGAGUCUCGUUCCAAGCUUUGCUCCCACAAGCCAAAGAAGAGGACGUUGGCAGCUGGAAGAAGGAAACCAGAGGUUAUUGGAUUGGCUCUGUCUUUCAUCUGGACAGCUACCUAAGACCCCUCCAUAUGUUGCAAUUUCGGUCCCUUUAUAUCUAUUUAAUAAUUUCACACAUCCUGGUUUUAUAGAUGGACAGCCCCUCAGAGGAACAGUACAUUGGAAAUUCUUUCCUUCUCACUUCUCAUUUAAACACCUGUUUUCUGUGCUCAGCAGUUUUGAAAAUCAGACUGGUUAUUCGGGUGCCUAAAUAUGGAUUUAAGACCCAUAUUUUAGGCCUUACUUUUGAAAAUCUUGGCCAUAACCUGUCCAAAAUAUUCUCAAAGCAGAACUCUCGGUGCUAUGCAAAGCAUGAGAAAUAAGCAGAACUUUAUUUUACAUGUUCAAUAAUCAAAGUUUUAAAUUUGCAGUCUGGUUUCUGCAAGUGUGGUAAGUGUAUGUGCAUAAUAAACUGGCAUGUAAGUGAUCGAAUCCAUAAUUGUAUGCAUCGUAUUUGCUUUGUACAUGAAAAAUGAGACCGUAUAUCAAAGCACAGCAGAAAUAGCUGGGUACAAUGUGUUCUCCUCUGUGCAGUAAUCCUUUAUAUGUGUAUGUACAAUAAAUGGCCAGUUCUUUCUCCCAUGACUUUAACAUGGUUAUAAACUAUUUUUUACCAUCCAGUGAAAAGUGUUUCCUCCUGACAAACGGCUCCUGCAAAGUGCUGGGACGUCUGCCGUCACUCUAAUGGGAACUGGCUGGAAUCUUCAUUCCAGACUUUACAAACUAGCCCAAACGGGGAAGGGGAAACACGCCGCACCCGCAUGCCACCGCGCAAGAGCUGUCGAUUCUGUGUUCGCCAUCGAUAAAUAGAUUGCAAGGCCAGAAAAGGCCAUUAUGAUCAUCUUGUCUGAGCUGCUGCAUAACGCAUCCCCCAGACCCUGACGCAGGAAUUUCUGCAUUCAGCCCAGACCUUCUCGUGCGGCCGGAGCACUGUUAGAAAGACACUGUCUUGAGUUAGACACGUGAUGGAGAAUCUAUCACAGCCCUUGGUGAUUCCAGUGAUUAAUUGCCCUCAUUUUAUUUCUAGUCUGAAAUUGUCUAGCUUCUGCUCCCAGCCACUGGGCCUUGUGCCCUUUUCUUCCUAAUUGAACAGCCCUUUACCCAUGCAGGUGCUCGUAGACUUUGAUCCACUUGACCUUUCCUUGGAUAAACUAACUAGACUGAGCAAAACCCACAAGGAGAUG
This is a non-coding RNA of Pelodiscus sinensis (Chinese soft-shelled turtle), 2938 nucleotides long. The record is from RefSeq and is a predicted model, not a curated record. NCBI's taxonomy places the organism in Eukaryota, Metazoa, Chordata, Testudines, Trionychidae.